GAUGAACGCUGGCGGCGUGCCUAAUACAUGCAAGUCGAGCGAACAGACGAGGAGCUUGCUCCUCUGACGUUAGCGGCGGACGGGUGAGAAACACGUGGAUAACCUACCUAUAAGACUGGGAAAACUUCGGGAAACCGGCGCUAAUACCGGAUAAUAUAUUGAACCGCAUGGUUCAAUGGUGAAAGACGGUUUUGCGGUCACUUAUAGAUGGAUCCGCGCCGCAUUAGCUAGUUGGUAAGGUAACGGCUUACCAAGGCAACGAUGCGUAGCCGACCUGAGAGGGUGAUCGGCCACACUGGAACUGAGACACGGUCCAGACUCCUACGGGAGGCAGCAGUAGGGAAUCUUCCGCAAUGGGCGAAAGCCUGACGGAGCAACGCCGCGUGAGUUAUGAAGGUCUUCGGAUCGUAAAACUCUGUUAUUAGGGAAGAACAAAUGUGUAAGUAACUAUGCACGUCUUGACGGUACCUAAUCAGAAAGCCACGGCUAACUACGUG
Molecule: ribosomal RNA, 497 nt
Filed under: uncultured bacterium
Lineage: Bacteria
Description: partial 16S ribosomal RNA
Rfam family: Bacterial small subunit ribosomal RNA
Source: RNAcentral